AACGCGAAGAACCUUACCUACUCUUGACAUCCAGGGAAUUUCACAGAGAUGUGGAAGUGCCGAAAGGAACCCUGAGACAGGUGCUGCAUGGCUGUCGUCAGCUCGUGUUGUGAGAUGUUGGGUUAAGUCCCGUAACGAGCGCAACCCUUAUCCUUAGUUGCCAUCAUUUAGUUGGGGACUCUAAGGAGACUGCUGGUGAAGAACCGGAGGAAGGCGGGGACGACGUCAAGUCAUCAUGGCCUUUAUGAGUAGGGCAACACACGUGCUACAAUGGGAAAUACAGAGGGAAGCCAACCUGCGAAGGGGAGCCAAUCUCAAAAAAUUUCUCGUAGUCCGGAUUGGAGUCUGCAACUCGACUCCAUGAAGUUGGAAUCGCUAGUAAUCGCGAAUCAGAACGUCGCGGUGAAUACGUUCCCGGGCCUUGUACACACCGGAGUGC
This 439-nucleotide ribosomal RNA is filed under the name uncultured bacterium. RNAcentral's name for it is "bacterial SSU rRNA". It matches the Rfam family "Bacterial small subunit ribosomal RNA", at positions 958 to 1398 of the family's 1533-position model. The record is from RNAcentral.